RNAcentral lists this transfer RNA (73 nucleotides) under Clostridiales bacterium. RNAcentral describes it as "tRNA-Thr". It matches the Rfam family "tRNA". From Rfam's summary of the family: Transfer RNA (tRNA) molecules are approximately 80 nucleotides in length. Their secondary structure includes four short double-helical elements and three loops (D, anti-codon, and T loops). Lineage: Bacteria; Bacillati; Bacillota; Clostridia; Eubacteriales. RNAcentral also lists the same sequence under 1 other name. The record is from RNAcentral.
GCCGCUAUAGCUUAGCUGGUAGAGCAAUGCUUUCGUAAAGCAGAGGUCGAAGGUUCGAAUCCUUUUAGCGGCA